Molecule: ribosomal RNA, 1688 nt
Filed under: Salmonella enterica subsp. enterica serovar Bergen
Lineage: Bacteria; Pseudomonadati; Pseudomonadota; Gammaproteobacteria; Enterobacterales; Enterobacteriaceae
Description: bacterial LSU rRNA
Rfam family: Bacterial large subunit ribosomal RNA
Source: RNAcentral
UGCUGGAGGUAUCAGAAGUGCGAAUGCUGACAUAAGUAACGAUAAAGCGGGUGAAAAGCCCGCUCGCCGGAAGACCAAGGGUUCCUGUCCAACGUUAAUCGGGGCAGGGUGAGUCGACCCCUAAGGCGAGGCCGAAAGGCGUAGUCGAUGGGAAACGGGUUAAUAUUCCCGUACUUGGUGUUACUGCGAAGGGGGGACGGAGAAGGCUAUGUUGGCCGGGCGACGGUUGUCCCGGUUUAAGCGUGUAGGUGUGUGUUCCAGGUAAAUCCGGUUCACUUUAACACUGAGGCGUGACGACGAGGCACUACGGUGCUGAAGCAACAAAUGCCCUGCUUCCAGGAAAAGCCUCUAAGCAUCAGGUAACAUCAAAUCGUACCCCAAACCGACACAGGUGGUCAGGUAGAGAAUACCAAGGCGCUUGAGAGAACUCGGGUGAAGGAACUAGGCAAAAUGGUGCCGUAACUUCGGGAGAAGGCACGCUGACAUGUAGGUGAAGUGAUUUACUCAUGGAGCUGAAGUCAGUCGAAGAUACCAGCUGGCUGCAACUGUUUAUUAAAAACACAGCACUGUGCAAACACGAAAGUGGACGUAUACGGUGUGACGCCUGCCCGGUGCCGGAAGGUUAAUUGAUGGGGUCAGCGCAAGCGAAGCUCCUGAUCGAAGCCCCGGUAAACGGCGGCCGUAACUAUAACGGUCCUAAGGUAGCGAAAUUCCUUGUCGGGUAAGUUCCGACCUGCACGAAUGGCGUAAUGAUGGCCAGGCUGUCUCCACCCGAGACUCAGUGAAAUUGAACUCGCUGUGAAGAUGCAGUGUACCCGCGGCAAGACGGAAAGACCCCGUGAACCUUUACUAUAGCUUGACACUGAACAUUGAGCCUUGAUGUGUAGGAUAGGUGGGAGGCUUUGAAGUGUGGACGCCAGUCUGCAUGGAGCCGGCCUUGAAAUACCACCCUUUAAUGUUUGAUGUUCUAACGUGGACCCGUGAUCCGGGUUGCGGACAGUGUCUGGUGGGUAGUUUGACUGGGGCGGUCUCCUCCUAAAGAGUAACGGAGGAGCACGAAGGUUGGCUAAUCCUGGUCGGACAUCAGGAGGUUAGUGCAAUGGCAUAAGCCAGCUUGACUGCGAGCGUGACGGCGCGAGCAGGUGCGAAAGCAGGUCAUAGUGAUCCGGUGGUUCUGAAUGGAAGGGCCAUCGCUCAACGGAUAAAAGGUACUCCGGGGAUAACAGGCUGAUACCGCCCAAGAGUUCAUAUCGACGGCGGUGUUUGGCACCUCGAUGUCGGCUCAUCACAUCCUGGGGCUGAAGUAGGUCCCAAGGGUAUGGCUGUUCGCCAUUUAAAGUGGUACGCGAGCUGGGUUUAGAACGUCGUGAGACAGUUCGGUCCCUAUCUGCCGUGGGCGCUGGAGAACUGAGGGGGGCUGCUCCUAGUACGAGAGGACCGGAGUGGACGCAUCACUGGUGUUCGGGUUGUCAUGCCAAUGGCACUGCCCGGUAGCUAAAUGCGGAAGAGAUAAGUGCUGAAAGCAUCUAAGCACGAAACUUGCCCCGAGAUGAGUUCUCCCUGAGACUUAGAGUCUCCUGAAGGAACGUUGAAGACGACGACGUUGAUAGGCCGGGUGUGUAAGCGCAGCGAUGCGUUGAGCUAACCGGUACUAAUGAACCGUGAGGCUUAACCUUACAACGCCGAAG